Molecule: long non-coding RNA, 514 nt
Filed under: Rattus norvegicus (Norway rat)
Lineage: Eukaryota; Metazoa; Chordata; Mammalia; Rodentia; Muridae
Description: long non-coding RNA NONRATT006415
Source: RNAcentral
UGGAAAGCUUCUCUUACUAUUACAACCUCAGAGAGACGGCACGUAACUGCUGUGCCAAUGCCAGAAGAGCUCAGGCUAGUGCUUGUAGCGAUUGGAAUUUUACCCAGCCUGCUUCCCUUGUUUAGGCCAAGCGUGUCUCUGGUUUCACAGCUGGCCUACUUAAGCAGCUGCACAGAGUUCCAUGUUAUAGGGGAAGCUGCAGACUUAGGGACACAACUUUGUCUCCGGAUGGGAAGGCUCAUCUAAAUGCUACACAGACCGAAAGCAAAGGCUGAGUUCUCCUACCGUUGGCAUCCUGCCCUAUGAUUUCAGAUGAUGAUAUGCGGGGAUAUACGUCCUUCAUGAAGACAUGUCAGGAAUAGACUCGGGAAUGUUUAGACAAUGCAGUCAUUAUAUAAUGUGCCUUCGACACCUUGGAAACCAGUUGGUGGUAUGCAACUUAUCACCAGAAACCAUGUGCGGACAAGAUGAUUUUGAAGAAAAUGCACUUUUCCUCUCCUUUUAUGAGUUCAAA